AGAGUUUGAUCAUGGCUCAGGGUGAACGCUAGCUACAGGCUUAACACAUGCAAGUCGAGGGGCAGCAUGUUGGUUGCUUGCAACCAAUGAUGGCGACCGGCGCACGGGUGAGUAACGCGUAUCCAACCUACCCUUGUCCAUCGGAUAACCCGUCGAAAGGCGGCCUAACACGAUAUGCGGUUCUCAGCAGGCAUCUAACGAGAACGAAAUGUGAAGGAGAAGGAUGGGGAUGCGUCUGAUUAGCUUGUUGGCGGGGUAACGGCCACCAAGGCGACGAUCAGUAGGGGUUCUGAGAGGAAGGUCCCCCANAUUGGAACUGAGACACGGUCCAAACUCCUACGGGAGGCA
This 348-nucleotide ribosomal RNA is filed under the name uncultured bacterium. RNAcentral describes it as "bacterial SSU rRNA". It matches the Rfam family "Bacterial small subunit ribosomal RNA", at positions 8 to 350 of the family's 1533-position model. The record is from RNAcentral.